RNAcentral lists this ribosomal RNA (560 nucleotides) under uncultured bacterium. RNAcentral's name for it is "bacterial SSU rRNA". It matches the Rfam family "Bacterial small subunit ribosomal RNA", at positions 64 to 613 of the family's 1533-position model. The record is from RNAcentral.
GAACGGUAACGACGGGAGCUUGCUCCCGGGCGACGAGUGGCGGACGGGUGAGUAAUACUUAGGAAUCUGCCCAGUAGUGGGGGACAACUCGAGGAAACUCGAGCUAAUACCGCAUACGCCCUACGGGGGAAAGCGGAGGAUCCUUCGGGACUUCGCGCUAUUGGAUGAGCCUAAGUCGGAUUAGCUUGUUGGUGGGGUAAAGGCCUACCAAGGCGACGAUCUGUAGCUGGUCUGAGAGGACGAUCAGCCACACUGGGACUGAGACACGGCCCAGACUCCUACGGGAGGCAGCAGUGGGGAAUAUUGGACAAUGGGGGCAACCCUGAUCCAGCAAUGCCGCGUGUGUGAAGAAGGCCUGCGGGUUGUAAAGCACUUUCAGUAGAGAAGAAAAGCUCAUGGUUAAUACCCGUGGGUCUUGACGUAACCUACAGAAGAAGCACCGGCUAACUCCGUGCCAGCAGCCGCGGUAAUACGGAGGGUGCGAGCGUUAAUCGGAAUUACUGGGCGUAAAGCGCGCGUAGGCGGUUUGGUCAGUCGGAUGUGAAAGCCCUGGGCUCAAC